CGGGUGAGUAACGCGUAUCCAACUUCCCUAUAGUAGAGAAUAGCCCGGCGAAAGUCGGAUUAAUGCUCUAUGUUGUGUUUUGAGGACAUCUGACGAACACCAAAGGUUCACCGCUAUAGGAUGGGGAUGCGUCUGAUUAGCUUGUUGGCGGGGUAACGGCCCACCAAGGCGACGAUCAGUAGGGGUUCUGAGAGGAAGGUCCCCCACAUUGGUACUGAGACACGGACCAAACUCCUACGGGAGGCAGCAGGUGAGGAAUAUUGGUCAAUGGGCGAGAGCCUGAACCAGCCAAGUAGCGUGCAGGAUGACUGCCCUAUGGGUUGUAAACUGCUUUUAUCAGGGAAUAAAGUGCGGCACGUGUGCCGUUUUGUAUGUACCUGAUGAAUAAGGACCGGCUAAUUCCGUGCCAGCAGCGGC
This 417-nucleotide ribosomal RNA is filed under the name uncultured bacterium. Its description in RNAcentral is "bacterial SSU rRNA". It matches the Rfam family "Bacterial small subunit ribosomal RNA", at positions 103 to 518 of the family's 1533-position model. The record is from RNAcentral.